UAUUACCAUAAUAUUGUCGACUGCAUUU
Molecule: non-coding RNA, 28 nt
Filed under: Mus musculus (house mouse)
Lineage: Eukaryota; Metazoa; Chordata; Mammalia; Rodentia; Muridae
Source: RNAcentral